Molecule: ribosomal RNA, 916 nt
Filed under: Montipora sp. XNL-2012
Lineage: Eukaryota; Metazoa; Cnidaria; Anthozoa; Scleractinia; Acroporidae
Description: partial 12S ribosomal RNA
Rfam family: Bacterial small subunit ribosomal RNA
Source: RNAcentral
CAGGAGAAGGGAAGGUGUUACAUAGGUGAGGGAAAAAGCACCCUUUUGUGCAUAUACGAAGGUAAGACACAGAGAGGGCACCUUACUUAGUCCGUCAAAUUAAGUGCCAGCAGACGCGGUGAAACUUAAGGGCUAGUUUUGUAGGCAAAAGCGUAAAGGGUGUGAUAGGCCGUUUUAAUUAAAAGGGGUUUUAUAAUUUAAGAAGGUAAAUGGAAUUUUUUUGUAACGGUGGAAUGUGUAAAUAGAAAAAAGAACCUUAGACGUGAAGACUAUUUAUUUUUGAGAUUAUAAUGUGAUGGCUAAAACACGAGAGUAUGGGGAGCAAACAGGAUUAGGGACCCUGGUAGUCUAUACUGUAAAUAAUGAAAAAGAUGUGAAGCAAUCCUAAAAAGUCAGAAAUUUUCCGCUUGAGUAGUACGACCGCAAGGUUAAAAUUCAAAAAACUUGGCUGUUCACUGUUUUAAUUAGAGGAGCGUGUCGUUUAAUUCGAUAGUCCGCGAGAGACCUUACCCAAACUUGAAUCCUUUAUUGACAGGUAUUGCAUGGCCGUCGUCAAUUUGUGUAUUAAACAUAAAACAGAUUUAACCCAGUGGUUUGUCUAUUGGAUGAAGUCAGGUCUUAUUGUCCUAAUGUUUGGGGAUUAGAUGCGCUACAUUUUUUUAUACAAUAGGAAACUUUGAGUGUGAAACCUGAAAAUAAGAGUUCGGAAAGUGCCUGGAAGAUAACGGAAAGUUGUAUUUAAUAGUAAUUGAAAAAGUAGAGCGUUUCAAUGAAAUUUUUUUCAGUGUUAGUACAAAUUGCCCGUCGCCUUUGCCUUAGAAAGGUAGGUUGAUUGCCCCCUCAAGAGGUUUCUAAUUAUCUCCGACGCCUAAAUAAGUCGUAACAUCGUGGAGGAGCGAGAGAAUCAAGUGAAACU